RNAcentral lists this ribosomal RNA (253 nucleotides) under uncultured bacterium. Its description in RNAcentral is "partial 16S ribosomal RNA". It matches the Rfam family "Bacterial small subunit ribosomal RNA", at positions 524 to 776 of the family's 1533-position model. The record is from RNAcentral.
UACGGAGGGUGCAAGCGUUAUCCGGAUUCACUGGGUUUAAAGGGUGCGUAGGCUGUGCAGAAAGUUGGGUGUGAAAUACCUCGGCUUAACCGAGGAAUUGCGCCCAAAACUACUGUGCUCGAGGAAGAUAGAGGUGAGCGGAACUUAGGGUGGAGCGGUGAAAUGCGUUGAUAUCCUAAGGAACACCGGUGGCGAAAGCGGCUCACUGGAUCUUAUCUGACGCUGAGGCACGAAAGCCAGGGUAGCGAACGGG